AGUGCCCGCUUGUUUAAUUUUGCGAGUUCAAAGCGUGACCCAAUUCCCAAUAUAUCAAAACUUUUAUUCUAGCCAGCCAAAGAAAACUCUUCGCUCUCUCUCUCAACGGAAGAUCCCAGUCCCUUUCUUCAUCUCUUCCACAGAUUUGGGGCUUUUUGUGUAACCUCAUAUCUCCUUUUGGUGACAAGAGGUGUAACGAAUAGUCUGGGCAAAGGCGUCACGCCAGCAGCAGAAGCGUCGCUCUCAAAUCCAAUGACUUUCAUGUUACCUGCAUCAAAAUCGAUGCUGGUGUCAUAUCUCCUUCUGAACGUGGAUUUGCUUUUGUUCUUGAUGAUGGUGGAGAGACUUUAGCUUCUUAUAUGUCUAUUCAGUGAACCAGAAUUACUUCAAAGUUAGAGAAGGCGUAAUUAUUCAUGUAAUGUAAGGUUGGAACUCAAGGGCAAGCUCAAGAUUGAGUUGGAAUGGUUCAGGAGUUGAAAAGUGAAUAGUUCUUUCAAGAGUUUCUUAUUAGUUGCAAUUGCUUGAAGAACUCAAUUAGCAGUUUCAAUGGCUGUGAGAAGUAUAACAAACAAUGUGGACAACCAUUGUAUUAGAAAACCAUUAUGUGUGUUCAAGAAAUUAUCAACUUGUGUGCUAACUUGGUCCUCAAGUGAUCCAGAUCAGCUUGUUCAUUUUGUUCCCUUGGGCCCUAAUGCUAUGAGAGUUUGGGUAGAUACACCGAAAGUCCCAACUGCAUCCCUUUGGAGGCCAUCGUCUGAGCUGGAAAUUAUUGAAGAUGCUAUUGGUACUAUAGUAGCAUGGCCAGCAGACAAAGUAGUUAUGUUUUAGGGCUCCGUUCAGAGAUGCUAAGAGAGCUAUAUAUGAAGGUUAGAAGCUAGUAAUGGACUGAUGUGGUCAUGAAUGCUAGGAGCUGCGCACAAGUACUUUUUGAUUGAGACAUUGUAGUACUUGUUUAUCUUUUCCUUGGAUUCUUGUUUAUCUUUUCCUUGGAUUAAUUAUGCAAACUGAUCGACUGCUAGCUUUUGAGACAAUUUUAUUGAAUUGUAUUUGAAAUUCAUAUAUGAAGUUUGAGUAUUGAUGAGACG
Long non-coding RNA from Rosa rugosa (rugosa rose), 1085 nucleotides. RefSeq lists it as uncharacterized. The transcript is spliced from 7 exons. NCBI's taxonomy places the organism in Eukaryota, Viridiplantae, Streptophyta, Magnoliopsida, Rosales, Rosaceae. The record is from RefSeq and is a predicted model, not a curated record.